RNAcentral lists this ribosomal RNA (572 nucleotides) under Salmonella enterica subsp. enterica serovar Virchow. Its description in RNAcentral is "partial 23S ribosomal RNA". It matches the Rfam family "Bacterial large subunit ribosomal RNA", at positions 711 to 1279 of the family's 2925-position model. RNAcentral also lists the same sequence under 1 other name. The record is from RNAcentral. Lineage: Bacteria; Pseudomonadati; Pseudomonadota; Gammaproteobacteria; Enterobacterales; Enterobacteriaceae.
AGACCCGAAACCCGGUGAUCUAGCCAUGGGCAGGUUGAAGGUUGGGUAACACUAACUGGAGGACCGAACCGACUAAUGUUGAAAAAUUAGCGGAUGACCUGUGGCUGGGGGUGAAAGGCCAAUCAAACCGGGAGAUAGCUGGUUCUCCCCGAAAGCUAUUUAGGUAGCGCCUCGUGAAUUCAUCUCCGGGGGUAGAGCACUGUUUCGGCUAGGGGGCCAUCCCGGCUUACCAACCCGAUGCAAACUGCGAAUACCGGAGAAUGUUAUCACGGGAGACACACGGCGGGUGCUAACGUCCGUCGUGAAGAGGGAAACAACCCAGACCGCCAGCUAAGGUCCCAAAGUCAUGGUUAAGUGGGAAACGAUGUGGGAAGGCCCAGACAGCCAGGAUGUUGGCUUAGAAGCAGCCAUCAUUUAAAGAAAGCGUAAUAGCUCACUGGUCGAGUCGGCCUGCGCGGAAGAUGUAACGGGGCUAAACCAUGCACCGAAGCUGCGGCAGCGACACUCAGGUGUUGUUGGGUAGGGGAGCGUUCUGUAAGCCUGUGAAGGUGGCCUGUGAGGGUUGCUGGAGG